This 497-nucleotide ribosomal RNA is filed under the name uncultured bacterium. Its description in RNAcentral is "partial 16S ribosomal RNA". It matches the Rfam family "Bacterial small subunit ribosomal RNA", at positions 28 to 507 of the family's 1533-position model. The record is from RNAcentral.
GAUGAACGCUGGCGGCGUGCCUAAUACAUGCAAGUCGAGCGAACAGACGAGGAGCUUGCUCCUCUGACGUUAGCUGCGGACGGGUGAGUAACACGUGGAUAACCUACCUAUAAGACUGGGAUAACUUCGGGAAACCGGAGCUAAUACCGGAUAAUAUAUUGAACCGCAUGGUUCAAUAGUGAAAGACGGUUUUGCUGUCACUUAUAGAUGGAUCCGCGCCGCAUUAGCUAGUUGGUAAGGUAACGGCUUACCAAGGCAACGAUGCGUAGCCGACCUGAGAGGGUGAUCGGCCAAACUGGAACUGAGACACGGUCCAGACUCCUACGGGAGGCAGCAGUAGGGAAUCUUCCGCAAUGGGCGAAAGCUUGACGGAGCAACGCCGCGUGAGUGAUGAAGGUCUUCGGAUCGUAAAACUCUGUUAUUAGGGAAGAACAAAUGUGUAAGUAACUAUGCACGUCUUGACGGUACCUAAUCAGAAAGCCACGGCUAACUACGUG